This 129-nucleotide small nuclear RNA is filed under the name Microcebus murinus (gray mouse lemur). Its description in RNAcentral is "U1 spliceosomal RNA (ENSMICG00000025757.3)". It matches the Rfam family "U1 spliceosomal RNA", at positions 1 to 93 of the family's 166-position model. Rfam says of the family: U1 is a small nuclear RNA (snRNA) component of the spliceosome (involved in pre-mRNA splicing). Its 5' end forms complementary base pairs with the 5' splice junction, thus defining the 5' donor site of an intron. Lineage: Eukaryota; Metazoa; Chordata; Mammalia; Primates; Cheirogaleidae. The record is from RNAcentral.
UUACUUACCUGGCAGCGGAGAUACCAUGAUCACAAAGAUGGUUUCCCCAAGGACGAGGCUUAUCUAUCGCACAAGAUGUACAAGGGCUGCCCAGAAUGCACUGGGAUUAGAGUAUACGUAAAACUCUGA